AUCUGGAGGUAAGAAGCACUUUGUGUUUUGUGAAAGAAAGUGCUUCCUUUCAGAGGGU
Molecule: microRNA precursor, 58 nt
Filed under: Homo sapiens (human)
Lineage: Eukaryota; Metazoa; Chordata; Mammalia; Primates; Hominidae
Description: Hsa-Mir-430-P34a_pre stem-loop
Source: RNAcentral